AACCUGAUAGUUUAGAGGUUAUGAUUCCUGCUUUAGGUGCAGGAGGUCCUGGGUUCAACUUUCAGUCAGGCCCUUA
RNAcentral lists this transfer RNA (76 nucleotides) under Sphaerobolus stellatus SS14. RNAcentral describes it as "tRNA-Leu (TAG) (tRNA-Leu-TAG-4-1)". Lineage: Eukaryota; Fungi; Basidiomycota; Agaricomycetes; Geastrales; Sphaerobolaceae. The record is from RNAcentral.